UAAAGCUCUUCUCCAUCUUGCUAAGCCUCCAUUUGUCCGCAAUACCUCAUCUCCCUGGACGCAGGACAAGAACUCAGGACCCGCCUGGAGGUGCCCACAGCAGAAUCCACAUGCCGUCCAUCUGGUCCAGCCUCACGCAGAGCCACAACUGUGCUGGCGCCUGGAGCUGCCAGCCCCACUGCAGCAGCCGGACUGACAUUCAGACGUGGAGCAAGUUGGACUGCAUAGGGACCCACCAGUGAGAUGGACGCUGUCUGUAAACGGUUCUCCAGGGAGGCUGCUCUGCCAAGUCUGGUAUUUCAUGAAUAGAUCUGAAAACAGACAUUAUCUCUUCUCCCAGUGAAGAGAGAGCGAUGAAGCCUCAGGACAAAAGGAGGCAGUGGGAUGAUGCCACCAAGGGACCAUUCUGAAGAGCCAUCAGCAAAAAGCAGCCACACCUGCUUAUGUGGCUCUGGGACAAAUGAUCUGAGCCGUGACGUGGAACUUAGAUGCAGUAAAGUCCAUUGUAUUGAGCCUUCUCUGGCACUCCUCCCAAAACAGAGAGACAACAGUUCUGUUAUGUUUUGUUUGGUUUGGUCUCCCUCAACUCAUCAAUGAGCCUUUUUAAAAAGAAUAAUUCGGUACUUUCUUUAAAGGUGGUAGAAUUGGCUCUUACUCUAGUCUGUUUUCUCCUUCCUAAGGGAGGAGCAUCCUUCUUGUUAACACAGAACCCCAAACUAUCUGAUCAGAAAGAAAAUAAUUCAAUCUGCUGUUUGAAUUGACUUCCAGCAGCGUCUUAAAUUUUAAUUGGCCCCCGGCCUAAAACAACCUCAAACUGUAUGUCUUCCAUACUCCUCUCACCACCACCAUCACCACUGCCCCUACAACCACUCUAAGCAUAGUACAUAUGGUGAACAUACCAUGAUAUUGAAUGCUAUUCUCACUCUGCCUUCUCUUAAUCUGAUCUUACUCAGGUUCUGACAGUUGACGCUGAAAACAUUUUUUGUUGUUGUUGUGGUUGAGACAGAGUUUCGCACUUGUUGCCCAGGCUGGAGUACAGUGGUGCGAUCUCGGCUCACUGCAACCUCCGCCUCCCGGGUUCAAGUGAUUCUCCUGCCUCAGCUCCCCAAGUAGCUGGGAUUACAGGCAUGUGCCACCAUGCCUGACUAAGUUUGUAUUUUUAGUAGAGACGGGGUUUCUCCAUGUUGGUCAGGCUGAUCUCGAACUCCCGACCUCAGGUGAUCCGCCUGCCUCGGCCUCCCAAAGUGCUGGGAUUACUGGUGUGAGCCACCAUGCCCGGCCAUGACACUGAAAACAUUUUAAAGGAGAAACAGAUUACCAAUUAUCCAUAAAGAUGAGAAUUAUCUGGCAACAUUUUGGUUAGAUGAAAACUGUGACUAGAGAGCUAACAAAAACAAACACAAUGAGCACUAGAUAUCUGCCAGGCAUUGUUCACAGCCCCUUUUUUGGUCUCAUCUGAUCCUUGCUGUAGAUCAGGAAUCAACAAACUAAGCUUUCACCACUUGUCAGGGGUAAAGCCAUGUCAGUCUGAGUCCCAAUGCCACACUGUUAGCCACUCUCCCACACCACCUGCUCCAACUAUUUGAAGAAGGAGAAUGUUUUUCCAGUUAAUAAAGUUAAUAGU
Molecule: long non-coding RNA, 1624 nt
Filed under: Homo sapiens (human)
Lineage: Eukaryota; Metazoa; Chordata; Mammalia; Primates; Hominidae
Description: HSALNT0383291
Source: RNAcentral